This 303-nucleotide ribosomal RNA is filed under the name uncultured methanogenic archaeon. Its description in RNAcentral is "bacterial SSU rRNA". It matches the Rfam family "Archaeal small subunit ribosomal RNA", at positions 321 to 633 of the family's 1478-position model. The record is from RNAcentral. Lineage: Archaea; Methanobacteriati; Methanobacteriota.
CCCUACGGGGCUCAGCAGGCGCGAAAACUUUACAAUGCGGGAAACCGUGAUAAGGGACUCCGAGUGCCGUAAAUCGGGCUGUCCUCUGUUUAAUAACAGGUGAAGAAAGGGCCGGGCAAGACCGGUGCCAGCCGCCGCGGUAAUACCGGCGGCUCGAGUGGUGGCCACUAUUACUGGGCUUAAAGCGUUCGUAGCUGGUCUGUUAAGUCUCUGGGGAAAUCUGCCGGCUUAACCGGCAGGCGUCUCAGGGAUACUGGCAGACUAGGGACCGGGAGAGGUGAGAGGUACUCCAGGGGUAGGAGU